CUUUUGAGAUAUAUGCCUUACUUAGUAUCUACUCUCUUUAAAAUGACUUGGAAUAAUUUUUGAGGUUUACUGACAGAGGUAAAAAUCCCUUUGACUUCAAUGUGGUUGUUUUUUACAUGACACCUUCUCAUGACUUUCUUUUUGACUUUGUCUCCGUGUAGUUUGGUGGUGGGAUAUUUACUUGCUGAUUUUCCUUUAUUUUCCACUGAAUGAAGUUUGUGCUUGAAUGAAGAGUGUAUCUUAAACCCUUUUUUUUUUGGAUGGAUUGCACUUGGAUAAAACUGGCACCACUGUGUUGAUAUGUAAUUAAAUUCUUUACCAUUAUUUAUCUAUGAAUGUGACCAUCGUUAAAUUUAAUUAUAAUGUAUUCCUUUUUAAAUUUCAGUCUGCUGCUUUGUAAAAAUAACUAUAAUUGAUAUUUCAGUUUUUAAAUUUGUAAAUUCUAAUCAUUGUCAUCCAGUGUAUUAGAAAUGAGGAGUCAAGGAGCUAACUCAUGGUUCUGUACUCAUUUUUAAAAACGGCUUGUAAAGGUUGAGAUAUAUCUGGUGACUUUUUCUGAGACUGAAAAUAGGUGAGAAAUUGAUGCAGGAAAAUGUGGGUAGUGAUUCCAUGUUUGUUAGUAACUUGCCAUCAUGGAGGUCAGAGAAUGAAUGAAGUAACGGUAACUCUAUUUUUUGUAUACCUUGUUCUUUGUCAUCUGCAAAAUUGAACUGGAUCAAGUGUUAUUUUGGGCCGGGAACAAAGCUUCAUUCAAAGGUUUCUGAGCUAAUCAUUUUACCAUUUUGUUGACCUUGUACACAGAAUGAGAGUAAUCUGUAUUAUAUAAGGAAAGAACUGAUAAAUAUUUAUUAAAUGACAAAUUUGGACCACAGGCUUUCUUCACCUUGUACAGUAUAGUUACACACACACACACACACACACACACACACACACACACACCCUUUCUGGCAUGGGGUCGUGUCCUGUACUUCUGGGGCUAUUUUACCUCAAAGUGUGUUCUGUUCUCUUUCUACUGCAUUAAGUUUAUUUGAAAUUAUUUGUGCCUGUACUGUAUAUUUCCCUACAGUGGUAAAGAAUUAUGCCAUAGUUUCAUUGGCACCGUUAGAUGAAAGAAAGGUGGCCGUCAGCAAGAUAAAAGUGAAACUGAGUAACUGUUUCAGAAUACUGUGGACUUGUGCAUCGUUAGUAUACUGCUGACGUUUUCUUGGUUUCGUCUGCCAUCUUGAAGUGCAUCUCGAAAGCCCCAUUUGUUACGUAGUGAUACAGCAGCUGAAGCAGGACUUCAUUACAAAUAGCUCUGAGCAUUUGUGUCAUGCCAAUUACCACCGCAUUUCCAAAGUAUAAAUAUAAAUAUACAAGAUCUUUCAGGCUUCUGCAUGAUACUUUGGGGGUGAGUGGACCACCCCAGCCUUUCUCCCAGCAUACGCUGAGCUGCCUUUAGGGGAGCAAUGGCGUGGUUGGCCACACAUGCAUGUUUUCUGUCCAUUUCAGAGUAGAGUGCCUUAGCCAGGCCGGAGGUUUCCUUUGUGUCUCUGCUGACCAGAGUUACCCAGACCUGUGAGAAGUUUCUUGUCAGGUUAUGGUAUGAAACAUGCCCUUUGGUGCUUGACAGAAAUUAAUUCCCCCACAUUUGAGGGGAGCAUGGGAUAGAAAAAUCUUUACCUGACUAGAGUAUGUUAUUGCCGUCUUUCCCAGUCCUUUACUAACAUUCGUGACCGUCAGUGCAUCGCACAGUUUAAAAUUGUCACGGGUUACGGCAGCGCUCCUCCAUUCGCACACAACCGAUGCACACAGCCGGGUAAUACACAAACAGCAAAAUCGUCCUUGGCAUUUGAAUCGCACCAUGCUUAAAAUGCUCUUAAUUCUAAUUUUAAAAAAGCUCCAUGCUGAUUAGUCUAGAAUGUACUUGUACUACUACCAACAUGUCACUUAUUUUAGUAGAGGUUUGGGGAAGAGGAGUGUACGUCUCGGGUUGCCCACAUUCUAAGUAGGUACCAAAAGAGUAUUGAUCAUGACCCGGAGUCUGGGCUCUGGGGGAACAUGCAAGAGAAAAAGCAGGCAUCGGGUCCACUUUAAGGAGAAAAAGGGGUCACCUUAGUGCCCAGUGAUCCUAGUGCAAUACAGAAUUUAAACUUCUCACAUUUCAAUUUAAAUCGUCAUUCCGCCACUAAUUUCAAAUUCAAAUGUGAAUUUGGAAGUUUCCUAAAUGCUCAGUUUUCCAAGAAUUUAUUUCGUAGUCCGUUGAAAAACCUUUGGAAUGUACCUUGCUUGCCAAAGUAGACUUUGAUUCUAUCACCUGUGGAAAAUAAAAAGGUAAACUGAAGGUGUUUGAGUCAAAGGCUCCAUUUCCCCUUUCUAUUCUAACUAGAAGCCUGUGUGUGACUCUUCCUUUCAUUCUUCUCCUGGGCUUCCUUUGAACUUGCCACCACCGAGGACAGAGGCGCCAACUUGCUCUGUAGCGCCUAGAUAUUGCCACAUUCCAAUCUCCUUGAUUGCCUUAGAUCUCUUUGCUGGUCUAGGACUGGGAAUGUGCUGGAGGCAACAGAAUGAAGCCGAUGGGCUAGAACUUUUGGCUGUGGGUCCCCAGAAAGGCCAAAAAUAAAUACAGAAAUCUUUGGUUGCGUUGAUUCCUAUGUUCAGAGUGGCCUUUAGCAGUUCUGGACUUGGUUGAGCACUCUGUGGGAGAUUUGUGAAGUCCAGUUAGAAUUUUCUUUUUCUUCUCAAGUGUCUUUGUAAGGCAGCAUGCCCUUUCUUGAACACCCUGUGGGUGAAUAACCUUCCUAAAUUAGCUGCUGGUACUGGAACCUUCCAAGAGGAAUUUUAAUUAGUGUGCUGCAUUUGAAGCACUUUGACAUGUAUAUUUUAACUGACAGUUUUAACAGGCAAAUGGUGUGAAACUAAUCACCGUGAAACUUGGAAGUGUGAUGCUCUCUCUGUUUUAGGAAGCUUAAGUAAAUUUCUGAUUUUUCUUUUAUUAAUUUUGUGACCCAUGUGACUUGCGUAGUUUACUUUCCGUCUUUGACAGUGGCCCAGAUGACUGGCAUUGGCAGGCAGUUACACUAGGGUUUCUGGUAAAUCCUGGUUGUCGAGCUUUUCCAGAGAGAGUGGCGACACGUACCUUCUUCCUCGUGUGAAGCCAUGGGAGUGGAAGCUGCUGGCUGAUUCGUUGCAGGGCUUCCACAGUGCAAAAUAAAUGUAACCUUACUUUCUAACCCACAUGCUAGUACUACGCUUUGCUCUUCAAUAAACAAAUAUGCGAGAGAUAGUAAUCCAGCGGAUUUUUCUGGUUUGUUUUUAAGCGGGGACCUGCUCUUAAGACAGAGAGAUCUUCAAUGAGCUAAUAUUUAGGGAAGCAGAAAAUGUUCUGCCAUCUGUAGCCUUCUCACAGGUGGCCGGAGUGAGGAGACUGUGUUGCAUUCGGUCAGAAAGGCCGGGUUCCCAGAAUUGGAAAGUGGCACGUGGACGGAUUUUAGAAUAUCUUAACGAGGGCUUAUCUCUAUAGGAAAGUCCAUGUGGACCUAACAGAAGGAUUGUGUGGUCCAUUCACAUUGUCUUACUCUUCACAGAAUCAUUUGUAGAAAGGUAGGCUAAAACAAAGUGGUGCUGUUUUUAAAGCUUGUGAAUUGGAUCAUGGCCAUAGAGUACCUAAUGCUACAUGGAACUUAAAGUCAGUAUUAAAGAUACCAGGAUUGGCUAAAUGCUGGGGAUGCUUUAUGGCUCUUUGGCUAAAGUCUUCUCUUGAGCAGUUUCUAUGGGUAACCAUUAAAAUUUGGAAUUGAUUUUGUUUUUUUUAUUAAAGCAUACACAACUUGCCAUGAGCCCAAGAUUCUUCUAUUCUUGACGAGCACUUUUUAAUUCCAAGGAGUAAGUUCUUGACCUUACGUGGAACACGUUUAGUUAGUACUUGAUAUUACUAACUCGGUACUGGAGGAAUGUUCAUUUCACAAGAUCUGUGAAUGUUGCAUUUUAUAUCUGUGUGAAUUACUGGUAUCAUUCAGCAUCAGACUUUAACAACUGCUGAUUGAAACUGCCCACAGUAUUAACAUUGUAGGUUUUGUUUAGAUAACUUAAACGAAAUGAGUCAGCUUUCGGGAGACAAAGACCCAGCUACAUGUAAUGACAUGCUCGUUCCAAAACGUGCCAAGAAAGCAGACUUCAGUGUUACACUCCAAAUUUUAGUUGUUUUAUGAAAGUAGCAUUUCCUCUGGGUAGUGGGGAAGCAGUGAAUUACUGCCCAGGUGCAGACUCCCUGACCCCUACCUCGUCCCCUUCCCCUCCCGUAGGACAAAACAGGUUAAAUUUGUAGCCACCUGUAGGAAAAGAAAUGGCUACUUUUCUGAGUAAGACUUCGUGCCCUGUGACUAAGGACAGGUGGCAGGCAUCCUGCCGAAUCAGUUAGUACCUUGUGUGGCUCAGACCCGUUGCAGUUUGCUGUGUGUGGUAUUCUGGAACAAGGACGGCUCCGUGCCUUCUCAGGUACCUAUUAGCAACACCACUUACGCAACUGGAACGUGUGUGCCACAAGCAGAGUGUGUCAGUGAGAUAAAGGGGAACACAAAGUCUUUCAUUUCCUCUUUCAGAUAGUUGAAUGGAGCAUAUUCUUAAUGGGUCUGUCUAGAACUUGCUGUGUUCGUGGUAAAUGUAGCAUUUAUCUGGUUAUGUGUGGUGUGUGUGUAUAUACGUAUUUAAUAUGUACACAUAGGUUUUCUGCAUAUCUAUGUAUGAUAUAUUCAUAUAUACAUGCAGUGUGCUCUUGAUUAUCUGCAAAAUGGUACACCCUCGUUAGAUUGUCUCUUCCUGUUGACCUAAUCGGCACGUAGCCCCUAACUCCGAAGCCUCUUCCUCCUCUAGAGCCACAGUCGUUCCUAGUUGCAGUUCAUCUCAAUCCCCACGGAAGGCCCUUGUGAAAUACGUCUCUUUCUGUUUCCCUUCCACCGGGGAUUGUGAGCCAGAAAGACAGUUUUUGAAGAAGACGGCUGCUUCCAUCAGGUUUCAGUCUUCUGGCUCUGAAUGGUGUUGGGGCCCAUCCCUGGCCAGAAGGCAGCUCUGGGAGCAGUUGUUGUGCUCAAGAGCUCGAGGGGGGAAGAGAUCUAGCUCUUGCAGAAAUGGGGCUUUACAACUUGCUUAAAAGUUCCUUAUCUGCAGGGUUGUGAAGUCGUAGACAGUUUGGUCCACAAAUAGAUCCUAUCACUGUUACUUUUGCAUCGUUGGUGUUACUGUUCCCCAUUGCUGGCCCCGAUAAUCAAGACCUGACUGUUUCUUGCCAGUGGAUUCUGGAAGCCUUGCCUUCUGAACUGGAUUUAUGUUUAUUUCUGCUGCUGUGAACCCCAAAAGUAAUGCAGCUUUGAAGAAGGUGAGGGGAAGAUGCCCCGUAUUUUGCCCCGGGGCUGCCUCUCCAGCGGUGUGCUUUUAAUCCCCUGCGCCACCCAGCCUCUCGGUUGCCCCAGCGGUUCCUCCUACCCUUCUGUCCGCAAAUCUCGAACACCCAGCGGGUACCUGACACAUAGCAGGCACGCACCAGCUCUGCUUUUGGAGUAGUGCCUACCAAGGCGGACCAGACUCUGGAUGCUUGUGAGUCAUCACGGCAGACAUCACCUACAACCCUCCCCCACAACCCUCUCACCCGUGACAUUGGCCUGCUGCAGUCUCUUCAGGAUCUCCUGUUACGACCCUUUAAAGACAACAACACAACAACUGUUUUAUUAUGUCAAAAGUGAUUUGUUAUUUGUAAGCUUUUUUUAAUUAAAAAAAAAUUUUUUUUGAGUUUA
This is a long non-coding RNA of Lynx canadensis (Canada lynx), 5768 nucleotides long. RefSeq lists it as uncharacterized. The transcript is spliced from 3 exons. Lineage: Eukaryota; Metazoa; Chordata; Mammalia; Carnivora; Felidae. The record is from RefSeq and is a predicted model, not a curated record.